Molecule: long non-coding RNA, 3986 nt
Organism: Malaclemys terrapin pileata
Lineage: Eukaryota; Metazoa; Chordata; Testudines; Emydidae
Exons: 7
Source: RefSeq, a predicted model, not a curated record
CUCCCCUCCCACGAACAACAAAGAUCUCCUGAUUAUUGUAAGCAAAUUGAGUCCUCUCUCCAUCUUCCGAUGCUACUGCCGUUCCUGUCUCUGUGCUUGCUGCUGUCCUGGGGUUUGCUACUCAGAAUGGAUGCUUCCACCUCAGAAGGACAAAAAAGAGGACGAGAUCAAAGGGACAAGGGGAAGAUUGAUAAAAAACACUCAAGCACAAAGGGGAACCUUCCACUGAGAGCCAAAAUGUAGUUCUACUAAACAUCUCAGAGCCUAAAUUAUGAUCAGGCCCCCAUUAUUCCAGGCAUUGCAGAAACACAAAGGGCCAGCUUAAGGCCGAUUCCGCUAAUUCCCCAGAACUGGGCACCGCGCCUAAGAGGGUCCCGCUCCCCCAGCCGGAGCACAGCAAGCCCCGCAGCCCCACUCCCCUGGCUGGAGUGCAGCAAGCCCUGUGGACCCGCUCCCCCGGCCAGAGCGCCGGCCAGAGCCCUGCAAGUCCCGCGGCACCGCAACCCCGGCCGGAGCGUGGCAAUCCGAAGUGCCACUGAAGACUCGGAGUGCCACCCGGAAUGACUGAUAUUUGGAAAAUAUUUUCUAAGGACAAAAGGCCCUAGAAGUUUGGAUCCUGAUAUGUUUUCGUGUGAAAAGAGGAAGUAUUUUUACUCAUGCUUAAUUACUGGAGAAUUAUUAAGAUCUUUUGUGUGUGUGUCUCAAGUUGAACACCCAAAAACUGAGACAUCCAUAGUUGCUAAUCACUUUUGUAAAUCUUGAGCCCCAAACUAUUCAUACUACAAUGCUGCAUUGCUCUUGCGCUAUGGCCCUCUUGAUCUGUGUUAUUAAAGCAUGUCUUGCUAUUACACUGAAAUCACUGGGGGAGGAGGGCUCACUUUAAAAGCUUAGCAGUGGACAUGUACAAUUACUGCAUGACAAGCAAUAUUAUAUUAUGGACUGAGAAGGGGAGAAAAUAUAACUAGCUCAAAAGAGAAAACAUUUUGGUUCAAUGCUGUUAUUUGAAAAUAAUAGUGUCUGAUGCUCCUUGCACAAAGCAUUACCAUUCAGACUAUGGUGGGAAUGACUCUUAACACGGAUCAUCAUCUGGGACAAAAUGUACAAGCUACUCUUUAGUAACAACAUCCCCGAGCAGCAAGACUUGGCACGCCACAGAGUAGCUGCACAAAGUCAGUCUCAGUCCAAUUAAUCCUCACAUACCUUCUCAUCUCCAUCCUCCUCUUUUGCUGCUUCUACUUCACCCAGAAAGCCAAAGGAUUAGUUAAAUUUAGACACACUCAAAUACUUUUUGUUCUUUUUAUGACUCCUUUUGUGAAUGUUUCCUCCUUUUCAGAUAUACGCACCAAGAGAAAAAGAGCAGAAGAACAAGGCAAAAUAGUUAUAUAAAAGAGAAAGCAUAUUCCAGAUGGUGGAGAGAAGAGUUUCUAAUCAAAUUCAGUAGAAGUGUCAGUGUGAAGUAAUUAUAUUGUAUAUUAUGAGGCCUUCACGUGAAAUCUGCUGGGGACAGAGAAGUUACUGGAUCAAGAGCCUGAUUCCAAGAGGUGCUGAGCACGCGUAGAUACCAUUGCAGUCAGUGACACUCUACACUUAAUCAGGAUCAGGCCCCAAGUAAUUAAACAGCUGAAAUUUUACCCAUCAUUUAGGAGUAAUAUAUACAGCCAAUCCUACGACAGAUGGUACAUUCAUGGUACAGACAAUUGGUGGAAAAGAACCUGGAGGGAAACGUCGGGCACAGAGGGGCAUUCCUUGAUUUGCAGAAAGCACCUGACAAAGUACCUAGGCUACUUCUGAGGCCUCUGCUACAAUUCUGUGGGCAGGGCUGGCUCCAGGUUUUCUGCCGCCCCAAGCAGCAAAAAAUAAAAAACAAAAGCUGCAGCAGCACAAUCGCGCCAUUCCACUCUUCAGCAGCAAUUUGGUGGCAGGUCCUUCGCUCCGAGCGGGACUGAAGGACCUGCCACCAAAGCGGACGUGCCGCCCCAAUAGUGGCCGGAGUGCUGCCCCUUGGUAUUGGCCGCCCCAAGCACCUGCUUCUUUAGCUUGUGCCUGGAGCCGGCCCUGUCUGUGGGAUACCAGAGGACCUUCUCCAGAUGGUGAUGAGUUUGUAUAAUGGUUCCAUAACAAAAGUGAACAACCUUUGGUGUAAUGGAGGGCUUCAAGAUGAACAUUGGAGUCCCCCAAGAAUCUGCACUUAGUCUAUUACUAUUCAUAAUUGUGGUGGACUUCAUAAGUAAGCAAAUCCAAAUGGAUGGUCGUAUGAAGUUGAGCUAUGCAGAUGAAAUUGUGCUAAUGGUGGAUACUGAGGAAGAUUUGGUCCCAGCAAUUGAUUCCUGGAAUAGGGAACUAACAAACUAUGGCCUCAAAAUGAGUAAAGAAAAGACAGAAGUCAUGUGGGUGACCCAUGCAGAACCAAGAUAAGUGAACAUCAACAUCGAGGGCCAGCACCUACACACGCUUUCUGCAUUUAAGUAUCUUGGAGAUGGAUUAGUGGUAAAUGGAGAAAUCGACAGAGAAUUGCAAGCAAGACUGUUGAGCAUGAAGGAAGAAUAACACAAGACUCCAUACCACGGCAAGCAUGGAGCUCGCUCAGCUCAAGACAGCAGUCAUGAACAUUGUAAACACCUCGCGCAUUCUUAUGCAGUUUAUGCUGAGCCAGGACCAGAAAAACGAGGCGAGGAAGCGGCGGCGAUGGCAGCACAGCGACAAGCGUGAUGAGGACAUGGACAUGGACACAGAAUUCUUUCAAACCGUGGGCCCCGUGCUUUGGAGAUCAUGUUGUUAAUGGGGCAGGUUCUAUCCGUGGAACGCCGAUUCUGGGCCCGGGAAACAAGCACAGACUGGUGGGACCGCCUAGUGUUGCAGGUGUGGGACGAUUCCCAGUGACUGCAAAACUUUCGCAUGUGUAAGGGCACUUUCAUGGAACUUUGUGACUUGCUGUCCUCUGCACUGAAACGCCAGAAUACCAAGAGGAGAGCAGCCCUCACAGUUGAGAAGUGAGUGGCGAUAGCCCUGUGGAAGCUUGUGACACCAGACAGCUACUGGUCAGUCGGGAAUCAAUUUGGAAUGGGCAAAUCUACUGUGGGGGCUGCUGUGAUGCAAGUAGCCAAAGCAAUCACUGAGGUGCUGCUACGAAAGGUAGUGACUCUGGGAAAUGUGCAGGUCAUAGUGGAUGGCUUUGUUGCAAUGGGAUUCCCUAAAUGUGGUGGGGCGAUAGAUGGAACCUAUAUCCCUAUCUUGGCACCGGAGCACCAGGGUACCCAGUACAUAAGCCGCAAGGGGUACUUUUCAAUGGUGCUGCAACCACUUGUGGAUCACAAGGGACGUUUCACCAACAUCAACGUGGGCUGGCCGGGAAGGGUUCAUGAUGCUCGCGUCUUCAGGAACACUACUCUGUUUAAACGGCUGCAGCAAGGCACUUACUUCCCGGACCAGAAAAUAACCGUUGGGGAUGUUGAAAUGCCAAUAGUUAUUCUUGGGGACCCAGCCUACCCCUUAAUGCCAUGGCUCAUGAAGCCAUACACAGGCAGCCUGGACAGGAGUCAGGAGCUGUUCAACUACAGGCUGAGCAAGUGCAGAAUGGUAGUAGAAUGUGCAUUUGGCCAUUUAAAAGGUCGCUGGUGAUCGUUACUGACUCGCUCAGACCUCAAUAUCCCCAUUGUUAUUUCUGCUUGCUGUGUGCUCCACAAUCUCUGUGAAAGUAAGGGGGAGACCUUUAUGGCGGGGUGGGAGGCUGAGGCAAAUCACCUGGCUGCUGAUUACACGCAGCCAGACACCAGGGCGAUUAGAAGAGCACACCAGGAAGCGCUGUGCAUCAGAGAAGCUUUGAAAACCAGUUUCAUGACUGGCCAGGCUACAGUGUGAAAUUUCUGUUUGUUUCUCCUUCGUGAAAACCCGCCCCCUUUAUUGACUCAUUCUCUGUAAGGAACCCACCCUCCCCUUUCCCCCAGCUUGCUUUCAAAGGAAAUAAAGUCACUAUCGUUUAAAAAUCA